Molecule: ribosomal RNA, 608 nt
Filed under: uncultured bacterium
Lineage: Bacteria
Description: bacterial SSU rRNA
Rfam family: Bacterial small subunit ribosomal RNA
Source: RNAcentral
AGAGUUUGAUCAUGGCUCAGAAUGAACGCUGGCGGCGUGCUUAACACAUGCAAGUCGAACGAGAAAGGGAUUGCUUGCAAUCCUGAGUAGAGUGGCGCACGGGUGAGUAACACGUAGAUAAUCUACCUUCAAACCUGAAAUAACUAUUCGAAAGGAUAGCUAAUACCGGAUAAAGUGGUUUAACAUAAGUUAAAUAAUGAAAGAUUGCCUCUUCUUGAAAGCAAUUGUUUGGAGAUGAGUCUGCGGACCAUUAGUUUGUUGGUGGGGUAAAGGCCUACCAAGACUGCGAUGGUUAGCUGGUCUGAGAGGAUGAUCAGUCACACUGGAACUGGAACACGGUCCAGACUCCUACGGGAGGCAGCAGUGAGGAAUUUUGCGCAAUGGGGGAAACCCUGACGCAGCAACGCCGCGUGAGUGAAGAAGGCCUUUGGGUCGUAAAGCUCUGUCAACUGGGAAGAAAUUAUAACAAUCUAACAGGUAGUUGUAUUGACGGUACCAGUGGAGGAAGCGCCGGCUAACUCCGUGCCAGCAGCCGCGGUAACACGGGGGGCGCAAGCGUUAUUCGGAAUUAUUGGGCGUAAAGGGCGCGUAGGCGGUCUUGUCGGUCA